Molecule: ribosomal RNA, 420 nt
Filed under: Fusobacteriota bacterium
Lineage: Bacteria; Fusobacteriati; Fusobacteriota
Description: Fusobacteria bacterium partial 16S ribosomal RNA
Rfam family: Bacterial small subunit ribosomal RNA
Source: RNAcentral
UGGGGGAUAUUGCACAAUGGGCGAAAGCCUGAUGCAGCGACGCCGCGUGGGGGAUGAGGGCCUUCGGGUUGUAAACUUCUUUUGCUCUGAACAAGGCAUGCCUUUGGGGUGUGUUGAGUGUAGGGGUUGAUUAGCGCCGGCUAACUACGUGCCAGCAGCCGCGGUAAUACGUAGGGCGCGAGCGUUGUCCGGAAUUAUUGGGCGUAAAGGGCUUGUAGGUGGCUGGUUGCGUCUGUCGUGAAAGCUCAUGGCUUAACUGUGGGUUUGCGGUGGGUACGGGCUGGCUUGAGUGCAGUAGGGGAGGCUGGAAUUCCUGGUGUAGCGGUGGAAUGCGCAGAUAUCAGGAGGAAUACCGGUGGCGAAGGCGGGUCUCUGGGCUGUUACUGACGCUGAGGAGCGAAAGCGUGGGGAGCGAACAGG